This 2458-nucleotide long non-coding RNA is filed under the name Mus musculus (house mouse). RNAcentral describes it as "long non-coding RNA chr16:81225872-81228330". The record is from RNAcentral. Lineage: Eukaryota; Metazoa; Chordata; Mammalia; Rodentia; Muridae.
AGUGCUGUGGCUUUGUCUGCCUAGAACCCGUGGAGGUCUUGCUCAUGUUGCCUCAGUAUCCGUGAGUUCAUACCUGUCCCAGUCCUGUUGUGGAAGUCACUAACACCUCUGGCUAUUACAUGGUCUUAUCUCUUCUGCAAGGUAAAUUCCUGAAAUUUGAAGGGAGAGGUUUGAUGGAAACACUCUCUUUGAGCUGUCCAUUCCAAAGUCUCCUACUCUCUGCCCAUUGUCCAGUUGUGUGGUUCUUUGUUACUCCCCGUCUUUUAAAAGAAGCUUCUCUGAUGAGGGACGAGGCAGGCACUAAGUGAAACCCAUUGAAAUAAGACAAUAUGUCAUUAGGAGUCAUUUUAUUCCUAUGAUUUUUUUUAAAUCAAAAUAAUAGGAGUAGGUACCCUUAGACUCAUGACUGAUGUUAGGUCCUGCUUACUUUAGUAAUAUCAGGUAUGGUUUCUAUCAUAUGGAGUGAGCCUUAGAUCCAACAAAAACGGGGUUGGUUGUUCCCAUAGCACUUAUGCCAUUUCUGCACUACUGUCAUUUGGAGGCAGAUUGUGGUUGUAUGUCUAAAGAUGAUAGUAAUGAUUGAUUUUUGUUUACUUCUCUAGCAGUGAGUGGUGGAAUCGGUGAGAGAGGAGGCAAAAAAUGAGGCUGACUAAAGUCAAAUGUAAUAUGCAACUUUUUUUCAGAGGAUCAGACAAUUUAUAUACCCCAAGAAUUAAGAAGAGACACAUGAGUAAGUUGUCCAUUCACAAGCACAACCUAUAUGUGGCUUCGUAAAGGCAUAAAAAUAAACAACUAUAACCUGUUGUAAUGAAUAAUGUGCAGAAAACUCACUCCUAUCUUCUACACCCAGGGAGAGCAUGAUAAUGCAUUCCAAGUAUGAGUCUGCUUUUGAAGGAUCUGAGAGGACAAGAAUCUUGAAUUGUUUUCUUUCAAGAAUCUUGAAUUGUUUGAGAAUUCUCACAAAACUUCAUUCUCAGACUGUGUUCUGAUUUUAUUUCCCUUGUUAGUGUGUAGAAUAAUUCUUGCUCCUUUGACCCUAGUUAGUAGCUUCUAGUUAGGCACCACAUUGAUUUCUUCAUGUAGUUGAUGUCUUCAAAAGUAGAGCCUUACUAUCAGGAUAUAUCAAGCAAACAAUGGCAUGGCUAUGUGUUUGGUAGGGAGCCCUGUUUGAGACCCCUUUGGACAAUGAUACAAAGUGUAAAUCGUUCUAGUAUUGAUUUUACUUUGUGGCCUACAAUGUCUUACUGGGCCAUUGUUUCCCUGUUAUAUGGUGACUUCAUUUAAUUUUUACACACACACACACACACACACACACACACACACACACACACACACAUGGAAGCUUCUACAGUAAUAGAUCCAUAAGGGCUUUCAAAAUGUCAUCAGCGUUAGCUGUUCCUCUUUUUAGUUUCUCCUUAACCCGGCUCUCUCAUGCCCUUCCCAUGUAAUGUGUCCAUUCUAGUUUUACAUUUGUCUCUUUGAAUAUAGUAUUCUAUUUCCCCUUCCUUGGAAGUUCACCUCUUCACCGCUGGUCCCUUACUAGUUACCUAACUAGUGUGGUUAUUAGAAUGAAACACACAUAUCCAAGUCUUAAAAGCAAACAAGCAACUAGGAGAGAAAAUAAGAACUGUGUCCUUUGGGAUUUGGGUGAUCUCACUCAGGGUGAUUGUUUUUACCUCCAUCUACUUACCUUCACUUUUCUCAUUUUCAUUUUUCUGAAGAGUUGAAUAAUAUUCCAAUGUAUAAAUAAAUUACAUUUUUUGUAUUGACAUCUAGUCUCUUUAUAAUUUCCAGCUAUUUUAUGACUAGAACAGACAUGAACAUUUAUGACCAAGCAUUGCUGUAGAAGAUGUAGAGUUUUAGGUAUAUGUCCAAAAGUAGGAUAGCUGCAUCAUGGAGGAUAUUGAUUGUCCUUAUUUGAAGAAACUGCACAGUAAUUUUCACAGUGUAUAUACCAUUUAAUUCUUUUCAAACAAUGAAUACAUACCCACACAACCCCUACAUCCUUGCCAACAUCUGCUGUCAUUUGUUUUAUUAAACUUGAUCAUUCCUAGUGGGUAGUUUGAAACUUCUAAGUAGUUUUGAUUUGCAUUUUUUUUCUGUCAGAUAAGGACACUGAACAUUUCUUUAAAGUGUUUUCCAGAUAUUUGUGUUUAGUUUCUCAUUACUACUUUAGAAAUUAACAUAAAUUUAUUGGUUUAUAAAACAUGCAUUUAUUUUUGCACUUCCUGGAGGUCAAUUAUCUUGAUGGUUUAAAAUCAGCAUGUCAUCUUGAGUCUUUACUGUGAUACUAUUUUUUCCGUUCAAUUCUGUGGCUCAUUUCCUCUCAUUAUUUACAAGAAACAUACUGAAAAAUUCAGACAAUUGCUUAUCGCCUGCCUUUUCUCUAUCAUCUUCAUAUCUUCCCCAAUUAUUCCAUCUUAAUUUGAAUCACUUACCAGGUUCAUUAUAGAAUUAU